CAGUCGCCACGGGAAUACGUAGGGUGCGAGCGUUAAUCGGAAUUACUGGGCGUAAAGCGUGCGCAGGCGGUUUGUUAAGACAGAUGUGAAAUCCCCGGGCUCAACCUGGGAACUGCAUUUGUGACUGUAUAGCUAGAGUACGGCAGAGGGGGAUGGAAUUCCGCGUGUAGCAGUGAAAUGCGUAGAUAUGCGGAGGAACACCGAUGGCGAAGGCAAUCCCCUGGGCCUGUACUGACGCUCAUGCACGAAAGCGUGGGGAGCAAACAGGAUUAGAUACCCCAGUAGUCCCUGUCUCUUAUAC
This 301-nucleotide ribosomal RNA is filed under the name uncultured bacterium. RNAcentral's name for it is "partial 16S ribosomal RNA". It matches the Rfam family "Bacterial small subunit ribosomal RNA", at positions 509 to 807 of the family's 1533-position model. The record is from RNAcentral.